This 422-nucleotide ribosomal RNA is filed under the name uncultured bacterium. Its description in RNAcentral is "bacterial SSU rRNA". It matches the Rfam family "Bacterial small subunit ribosomal RNA", at positions 355 to 774 of the family's 1533-position model. The record is from RNAcentral.
UAAGGAAUAUUGGUCAAUGGACGAAAGUCUGAACCAGCCAUGCCGCGUGAAGGAUGACGGCCCUCUGGGUUGUAAACUUCUUUUAUCUGGGACGAAAAAAGAUCAUUCCUGAUCACUUGACGGUACCAGAGGAAUAAGCACCGGCUAACUCCGUGCCAGCAGCCGCGGUAAUACGGAGGGUGCAAGCGUUAUCCGGAUUUACUGGGUUUAAAGGGUGCGUAGGUGGGUCUGUAAGUCAGUGGUGAAAUCUUCGAGCUUAACUCGGAAACUGCCAUUGAUACUAUAGGUCUUGAAUCAUCUGGAGGUGAGCGGAAUAUGUCAUGUAGCGGUGAAAUGCUUAGAUAUGACAUAGAACACCGAUUGCGAAGGCAGCUCACUACGGAUGUAUUGACACUGAGGCACGAAAGCGUGGGGAUCAAACA